UUAUAAGCUCCCCCAGGAAGGAUCUGAGAGCCAGAACCCAGGACACAUGGAUAAGGCCCCCGUGACAGCUCAGCCACCCGGUGCCAGAUGCUAACAUGAUGCCAACUGGACUUCCCUGGGCAGAUGACCCCAUCAAUGUGUCCUGGAGCCCUACCUCCCCAGAUCCCUGCCCCACUAGGGAAAGAAAGAGACAGGCUGGGAGUAUGAAUCAACCUACCAAUGCUCAUGUUCAGCGGAUGAACAAAGUUAGAGGGAAAUUGUUACUGUGUGACCACCAUUAUUCAAAGACAACCAAAGACCAGGUGGCAAAACUGAAAAGUGUCUUAGAUUACAGGAAAGGAAGAAGGCAUAGUGGCGGUGGGCUGUGAUAAAAGGGAUAGAUGGGAGAAGAAACCUGGAAGUCAUUUUUUUGGACUAAGUCAAUGACUUCAUUGUUUUAUUUGACUUAAAAGUUUUCCAUUAGCAGUGGAACUUGAACUGAGAAACAAAGAUUAAGCAUGGUUGCUAUCCUACAUAAAAUAAUAUUUACAGACUCUCCCAUAUUGUAGUCAGUUUUAAACAAUUUUAAAAUAAAGCAAUCUACACAAUAUUUUC
This is a long non-coding RNA of Erinaceus europaeus (western European hedgehog), 594 nucleotides long. RefSeq lists it as uncharacterized. The transcript has 3 exons. The record is from RefSeq and is a predicted model, not a curated record. NCBI's taxonomy places the organism in Eukaryota, Metazoa, Chordata, Mammalia, Eulipotyphla, Erinaceidae.